AUAUUUACCUGGCAGGGGAGGUACCUUGACCAGCAAUGUGGCUUUUCUCAGGGCGAGGCUUAUCCAUUCCACAGGGGGUGUGCUGAUUCCUGCGAUUUCCCCAAGUGUGGGAAACUCGACUGCAUAAUUUGUGGUAGUGGGUGACUACGUUCGCAUUCUCCCCUG
Erinaceus europaeus (western European hedgehog) is the source of this 165-nucleotide non-coding RNA. Lineage: Eukaryota; Metazoa; Chordata; Mammalia; Eulipotyphla; Erinaceidae. The record is from Rfam.